UACGUAGGUCCCGAGCGUUGUCCGGAUUUAUUGGGCGUAAAGCGAGCGCAGGUGGUUUAAUAAGUCUGAUGUAAAAGGCAGUGGCUCAACCAUUGUGUGCAUUGGAAACUGUUAGACUUGAGUGCAGUAGAGGAGAGUGGAAUUCCAUGUGUAGCGGUGAAAUGCGUAGAUAUAUGGAGGAACACCAUUGGCGAAGGCGGCUAUCUGGACUGUAACUGACACUGAGGCUCGAAAGCGUGGGUAGCAAACAGG
Molecule: ribosomal RNA, 252 nt
Filed under: uncultured microorganism
Description: partial 16S ribosomal RNA
Rfam family: Bacterial small subunit ribosomal RNA
Source: RNAcentral